Molecule: ribosomal RNA, 580 nt
Filed under: uncultured fungus
Lineage: Eukaryota; Fungi
Description: eukaryotic LSU rRNA
Rfam family: Eukaryotic large subunit ribosomal RNA
Source: RNAcentral
AUAUCAAUAAGCGGAGGAAAAGAAACCAACAGGGAUUGCCCUAGUAACGGCGAGUGAAGCGGCAACAGCUCAAAUUUGAAAUCUGGCUCUCGGGCCCGAGUUGUAAUUUGUAGAGGAUGUUUCUGGCAAGGUGCCUUCCGAGUUCCCUGGAACGGGACGCCAUAGAGGGUGAGAGCCCCGUACGGUUGGUUGCCGCGCCUCUGUGAAACUCCUUCGACGAGUCGAGUAGUUUGGGAAUGCUGCUCUAAAUGGGAGGUAUACGUCUUCUAAAGCUAAAUACCGGCCAGAGACCGAUAGCGCACAAGUAGAGUGAUCGAAAGAUGAAAAGCACUUUGAAAAGAGGGUUAAAUAGUACGUGAAAUUGUUGAAAGGGAAGCACUUAUGACCAGACUUGGGCCGGUUGAUCAUCCGUCGUUCUCGGCGGUGCACUCUGCCGGCUCAGGCCAGCAUCAGUUUGGUCUGGGGGAUAAAGGUUUCGGGAAUGUGGCUCCUCCGGGAGUGUUAUAGCCCGUUGCGUAAUACCCUGGAUCAGACUGAGGUUCGCGCUCUGCAAGGAUGCUGGCGUAAUGGUCAUCAGUGA